AUGGAGGAGCCAACACAUACACCACCGCGCAACAAGGCCAAGAAGGAGAUCAAGUCGCCGCCGCCGCCGCCCCUCACGAUGAGCUCGCUCUCGCUGCAGCGCAAGAAGCUCGGCUCCCACUUCCUCGAGAGCGACGAACGCCGCCGCUUCUACGGCGCGUCCGCUGCGAUCGGCACGACGCCGCUGGACAUCCGGGGCGCGCCGAUCCCGGAGCGCGACCUCGCGCGCACGGGCGGCUGGGUGGCCGCCUUCUUCAUCUUCGGCAACGAGACGGCGGAGCGGAUGGCCUACUACGGCCUCAGCGUCAACAUGGUGGUCUUCAUGUUCAAGGUCAUGCACCUCCCCUUCGCCGCCUCCGCCAACGCCGUCAACAACUUCCUCGGCAUCUCCCAGGCCUCCUCCGUGCUCGGCGGCUUCCUCGCCGACGCCUACCUGGGCCGCUACUGGACCAUCGCCGCCUUCACCACGCUCUACCUGCUGGGCCUCAUCGCGCUCACGCUCUGCGCCACGCUGCCCGCGCUCGCGCCGGCGCAGGACGGGUGCGACAAGCUCGCCAUGCUGCUCGGCGGCUGCGCGCCGGCCCAGCGGUGGCAGAUGGCCUACCUCUACACGGCGCUCUACGUCACGGCGUUCGGCGCCGCGGGGAUCCGGCCCUGCGUGUCCUCGUUCGGCGCCGACCAGUUCGACGACCGGAGCGCGGGCUACAAGCGCCGGCUCGACCGCUUCUUCAACCUCUUCUACCUCGCCGUCACGGUGGGCGCCAUCGCCGCCUUCACGCUGGUGGUGUACAUCCAGAUGCACCGCGGCUGGGCGGCCGCGUUCGGCGCGCUGGCGCUGGCCAUGGGCGCCUCCAACGCGCUCUUCUUCGCCGGCACGCCGCUGUACCGGCACAAGGCGCCCGGGGGCAGCCCGCUGACCAGGGUGGCGCAGGUGCUCGUGGCCGCCUUCCGGAAGCGGAACGCCGACUUCGGCGACGGCAGCUACGUGGGGCUGUACGAGGUGGCCGGGGCCAAGUCGGCGAUCCGCGGCAGCGGCAAGAUCGAGCACACGGACGACUUCCGGUGGCUGGACAAGGCGGCGCUCCGGCUCGACGACGACGGCGAGGAGGAAGAGGAGCAGGAGGAGGACCCGUGGCGGCUGUGCACGGUGACGCAGGUGGAGGAGGUGAAGAUCCUGGCGUACACGCUCAACACCGGGCUCCUCGCCGGCGCCGUGCGCCUCCCGGUGACGUGCAUGCCGGUGUUCCCCUGCCUGGCCAUCUUCCUGGUGCUGGCGCUCUACUACCAGACCUUCGCGCCGCUGGCCCGCCGGAUCACCGGCCACCCGCACGGCGCGUCGCAGCUGCAGCGGGUCGGGCUGGGGCUCGUCUUCUCCAUCCUCUCCGUGGCCUGGGCCGGCGCCUUCGAGCGGUACCGGCGGCGGUACGCGGUGGAGCACGGGUACCUGGGCCUGUUCCUGACGCCGAUGCCGGGGCUGAGCGCCUACUGGCUGCUCAUCCAGUACUGCCUCAUCGGGGUCGCCGAGGUGUUCUGCCUCGUGGGGCUCAUCGAGUUCCUCUACCAGGAGGCGCCCGACGCGAUGCGCAGCGUGGGGUCGGCCUACGCGGCCGUCGCCGGCGGGAUGGGCUGCUUCAUGGCCACAGCGCUCAACAACGCCGUCGACGCGGCCACCGGCGACCCCGUGAACGGCAGGCCGUCGUGGCUGGCGCAGAACAUCAACGUCGGGAGGUUCGACUACCUCUACUGGCUGCUCGCCGUGCUCAGCACGCUCAACUUCGCCGUCUUCCUCUACUUCGCCAGCAUCUACAAGUACAGAACGCCGCCGCCGACCACCGCCGGCACCAACGGCAGCAGCAAGGGGGAGGUCUCGGUGGUGUCCGACCACAAGUGA
Molecule: ribosomal RNA, 1890 nt
Filed under: Triticum aestivum (bread wheat)
Lineage: Eukaryota; Viridiplantae; Streptophyta; Magnoliopsida; Poales; Poaceae
Description: partial small subunit ribosomal RNA
Source: RNAcentral